Transfer RNA from Lentisphaera araneosa HTCC2155, 82 nucleotides. It matches the Rfam family "tRNA". From Rfam's summary of the family: Transfer RNA (tRNA) molecules are approximately 80 nucleotides in length. The record is from Rfam. Lineage: Bacteria; Pseudomonadati; Lentisphaerota; Lentisphaeria; Lentisphaerales; Lentisphaeraceae.
GCUCGAGUGGUGGAAUUGGCAGACACGACGGACUUAAAAUCCGUUGCCUCACGGCGUGCCGGUUCAAGUCCGGCCUCGAGUA